Molecule: ribosomal RNA, 411 nt
Filed under: bacterium enrichment culture clone ALO1_GLFRUDD03GL6CC
Lineage: Bacteria
Description: bacterial SSU rRNA
Rfam family: Bacterial small subunit ribosomal RNA
Source: RNAcentral
GAGUUUGAUCGUGGCUCAGAUUGAACGCUGGCGGCAUGCCUUACACAUGCAAGUCGAACGGCAGCACGGGAGCUUGCUCCUGGUGGCGAGUGGCGAACGGGUGAGUAAUGCAUCGGAACGUAUCCUGGAGUGGGGGAUAACGUAGCGAAAGUUACGCUAAUACCGCAUAUUCUGUGAGCAGGAAAGCGGGGGACCUUCGGGCCUCGCGCUCUUGGAGCGGCCGAUGUCGGAUUAGCUAGUUGGUGAGGUAAAGGCUCACCAAGGCGACGAUCCGUAGCAGGUCUGAGAGGAUGAUCUGCCACACUGGAACUGAGACACGGUCCAGAUUCCUACGGGAGGCAGCAGUGGGGAAUUUUGGACAAUGGGGGCAACCCUGAUCCAGCCAUGCCGCGUGAGUGAAGAAGGCCUCGG